RNAcentral lists this ribosomal RNA (94 nucleotides) under Escherichia coli. RNAcentral describes it as "partial 16S ribosomal RNA". It matches the Rfam family "Bacterial small subunit ribosomal RNA", at positions 1 to 88 of the family's 1533-position model. The record is from RNAcentral. Lineage: Bacteria; Pseudomonadati; Pseudomonadota; Gammaproteobacteria; Enterobacterales; Enterobacteriaceae. RNAcentral also lists the same sequence under 1 other name.
UUAAAUUGAAGAGUUUGAUCAUGGCUCAGAUUGAACGCUGGCGGCAGGCCUAACACAUGCAAGUCGAGCGGUAACAGGAAGAAGCUUGCUUCUU